UCUCCAAGAUUCAUCCGUGUCCUAGCAGGUAUCAGAAUUUCAUUUCUCUUUAGGAUGGAAUGCUGUUCUGUGGUAUGGAGACAGCACGGGCUGUUUAUCCGUCCUUCCACCCAUGGACAUUCGGGCUCUGCUGGCUGCUGCUGUGCACGUUGACAUAAAGUAGCUGAGUUCCCGCCUUCAGUGCUGUUGAAUACGAAUCUGCAGGACUGAUUUUGAAGUAGAAUUGCCUUCCUGUCUGUCUCAAAGCCAUGAGAGCUCCAUUGCUGGUGGCAGUUCGGUUCCCUCCUACUUGGCGGCGAUGGCUUCUGGCAACCUGGUUCCCAUCAGCAAAAGCCCUUACCAUAAAAUAGGACAUAUCUCAGGUAAUAAUAGUUAGAAGUCAGCUAACAUUUAUCAAACACU
RNAcentral lists this long non-coding RNA (402 nucleotides) under Vulpes vulpes (red fox). Its description in RNAcentral is "lncRNA (ENSVVUG00000028323.1)". Lineage: Eukaryota; Metazoa; Chordata; Mammalia; Carnivora; Canidae. The record is from RNAcentral.